This 274-nucleotide ribosomal RNA is filed under the name uncultured bacterium. RNAcentral describes it as "partial 16S ribosomal RNA". It matches the Rfam family "Bacterial small subunit ribosomal RNA", at positions 523 to 796 of the family's 1533-position model. The record is from RNAcentral.
AUACGGAGGGUGCAAACGUUGUUCGGAAUUACUGGGCGUAAAGCGCGCGUAGGCGGUUUGUUAAGUCAGAUGUGAAAGUCCACAGCUCAACUGUGGAAGUGCAUUUGAAACUGGCAGACUUGAGUACUGGAGGGGGUGGUGGAAUUCCCGGUGUAGAGGUGAAAUUCGUAGAUAUCGGGAGGAAUACCGGUGGCGAAGGCGACCACCUGGCCAGAUACUGACGCUGAGGUGCGAAAGCGUGGGGAGCAAACGGGAUUAGAAACCCUAGUAGUCC